GUGGCGCAGCGGAAGCGCGCCGGGCUCAUAACCCGGAGGACCUUGGAUCGAAGUAUGUUCCUCUCACCU
Molecule: transfer RNA, 69 nt
Filed under: Fonsecaea pedrosoi CBS 271.37
Lineage: Eukaryota; Fungi; Ascomycota; Eurotiomycetes; Chaetothyriales; Herpotrichiellaceae
Description: tRNA-iMet (CAT) (tRNA-iMet-CAT-1-1)
Source: RNAcentral